RNAcentral lists this ribosomal RNA (267 nucleotides) under uncultured bacterium. RNAcentral describes it as "partial 16S ribosomal RNA". It matches the Rfam family "Bacterial small subunit ribosomal RNA", at positions 123 to 406 of the family's 1533-position model. The record is from RNAcentral.
AACCUUCCUAGAGGUACGGAACAACGCAGGGAAACUUGCGCUAAUACCGUAUACGCUCUUGCGAGGAAAGAUUUAUCGCCUUUAGACGGGCCCGCGUAAGAUUAGGUAGUUGGUGAGGUAACGGCUCACCAAGCCUACGAUCUUUAGCUGAUCUGAGAGGAUGAUCAGCCACACUGGGACUGAGACACGGCCCAGACUCCUACGGGAGGCAGCAGUGGGGAAUCUUGGACAAUGGGCGCAAGCCUGAUCCAGCCAUGCCGCGUGAGU